Molecule: long non-coding RNA, 889 nt
Filed under: Populus trichocarpa (black cottonwood)
Lineage: Eukaryota; Viridiplantae; Streptophyta; Magnoliopsida; Malpighiales; Salicaceae
Description: long non-coding RNA (PTRI_LNC001876)
Source: RNAcentral
AUAUGUAAUUUAUUUAUUUUUUAAUCUAACUCGGUGCGAAAGACGAUUCAAAGUAUCUAGAUCUUCUAUAAAACAAGACAGUGCACGUGAAGCAUUAGUGAGAUAAUGACACAACUUUGCUUUGCAUUCAAAGAUGAGGGCCAUGCCUGCCUAGCGAUGGGGAAAUCAUUUUCCCCUGCCAUCUCCAAAUUUUAGCAUUCCACAGCUACAUCCACAGCUACAAAUUAACAUAAGUUAGCAGGAUAUGAGGAAAAAUACUAGCCUUCUACAAAAUUACAAAUAACUUAGCAGAAUCAUUGGAGUAUACAGUAGGUUUUGGAAGAAAAAAAAUGAAGAACUAGGAGUUAUUGGGACAGUCCUUUCUUCUUUAAUUCCUGAUAUCCAAACCAGCACUUGAACAGCCAAAUGGCUAGGGCAUAUAUAGAUCUGAAUUCUGGACAAUAAAUAAAGAAAUUCCAAAAUGGUAGAGGACAGAGGUCCCUCGAUACCCGGCCUGAGCACGGUCGUCCACAUGACGACGAUGAUAUAGAUGAGGUUGAGAUGUAUUAUUUUCCUGGAAGCCAUUGAGGCCCACAUGCCUCUUCUUCUUCAUGAAAGCCCGCAACAAGCCACGAGCUGGGAUUUUCAGAAUCCGUACUGCAUCUCCCUUGCCCGAUGCCGCCUCCUCCUUCUAGGUCCCUCCAUCUCCUGCUCAUCUGACCCCCUUCCCUCAUGGCAUGUUUCUCUCACUUCCUUGACAUGAUCUUGCCACCACUACUGCUACACCAAUUUGUUUGUAGCAUAGGGGGGUUUUGGUCCUUUUCUGUGCUUUGGGCAUUAGGUAUUGAUGGGCAGGAUUUCUGUUGAUUUCAGAGAUGAUAGGUAGGUUACAUCCUGCGCUGUGUCGUGG